GAUGAAGAACGUAGCGAAAUGCGAUAAGUAAUGUGAAUUGCAGAAUUCAGUGAAUCAUCGAAUCUUUGAACGCACAUUGCGCCCGCCAGUAUUCUGGCGGGCAUGCCUGUUCGAGCGUCAUUUCAACCAUCAAGCCCCAGGCUUGUGUUGGGGACCUGCGGCUGCCGCAGGCCCUGAAAACCAGUGGCGGGCUCGCUGUCACACCGGGCGUAGUAGAUUUUAUCUCGCUCAGGGCGUGCUACGGGUUCCGGCCGUUAAAAAGCCUUUUUUACCCAAGGUUGACCUCGGAUCAGGUAGGAAUACCCGCUGAACUUAAGCAUAUCAAUAAGCGGAGGA
Molecule: unclassified non-coding RNA, 336 nt
Filed under: soil metagenome
Description: partial contains 5.8S ribosomal RNA, internal transcribed spacer 2, and large subunit ribosomal RNA
Rfam family: 5.8S ribosomal RNA (bases 1-120)
Source: RNAcentral